This 439-nucleotide ribosomal RNA is filed under the name uncultured bacterium. Its description in RNAcentral is "bacterial SSU rRNA". It matches the Rfam family "Bacterial small subunit ribosomal RNA", at positions 954 to 1392 of the family's 1533-position model. The record is from RNAcentral.
GCUUAACGCGAAGAACCUUACCAAGGCUUGACAUAUACGAGAACGGGCCAGAAAUGGUCGACUCUUUGGACACUCGUAAACAGGUGGUGCAUGGUUGUCGUCAGCUCGUGUCGUGAGAUGUUGGGUUAAGUCCCGCAACGAGCGCAACCCUCGUUCUAUGUUGCCAGCACGUCAUGGUGGGAACUCAUAGGAGACUGCCGGGGUCAACUCGGAGGAAGGUGGGGAUGACGUCAAAUCAUCAUGCCCCUUAUGUCUUGGGCUUCACGCAUGCUACAAUGGCCGAUACAAAGGGCUGCAAUACCGUAAGGUGGAGCGAAUCCCAAAAAGUCGGUCUCAGUUCGGAUUGAGGUCUGCAACUCGACCUCAUGAAGUCGGAGUCGCUAGUAAUCGCAGAUCAGCAACGCUGCGGUGAAUACGUUCCCGGGUCUUGUACACACCG